CUUACACAUGCAAGUCGAGGGGUAACGAUGGUGCUUGCACCAUGCGACGACCGGCGCACGGGUGAGUAUAACGUACGCAACCUGCCCCUAAUCGGAGGAUAGCCCGAAGAAAUUCGGAUUAAUACUCCAUAAUAUCUUAGAUUCGCAUGUUUCUAAGAUUAAAACUUCGGUGAUUAGGGAUGGGCAUAUGCCCCAUUAGCUUGUUGGUGAGGUAACGGCUCACCAAUGCAACGAUGGAUAGGGGGCCUGAGAGGGUGAUCCCCCACACUGGUACCGAGACACGGACCAGACUCCUACGGGAGGCAGCAGUGAGGAAUAUUGGUCAAUGGAGGAAACUCUGAACCAGCCAUGCCGCGUGCAGGAUGACUGUCCUACGGAUUGUAAACUGCUUUUCUGCAAGAAGAAACCUUUCUACGUGUAGAGAGUUGACGGUAUUGCAGGAAUAAGCAUCGGCUAACUCCGUGCCAGCAGCCGCGGUAAUACGGAGGAUGCAAGCGUUAUCCGGAUUCAUUGGGUUUAAAGGGUGCGCAGGCGGGAUAAUAAGUCAGUGGUGAAAUACUGCAGCUUAACUGUAGAAUUGCCAUUGAUACUGUUAUUCUUGAGUAUAGUUGAGGAAGGCGGAAUGAGUAAUGUAGCGGUGAAAUGCAUAGAUAUUACUCAGAACACCAAUUGCGAAGGCAGCUUUCUAAACUACUACUGACGCUGAGGCACGAAAGCGUGGGGAGCGAACAGGAUUAGAUACCCUGGUAGUCCACGCUGUAAACUAUGAUCACUCGUUGUUAGCGAUAAACUGUUAGCGACUGAGCGAAAGCGUUAAGUGAUCCACCUGGGGAGUACGAUCGCAAGGUUGAAACUCAAAGGAAUUGACGGGGGCCCGCACAAGCGGAGGAACAUGUGGUUUAAUUCGAUGAUACGCGAGGAACCUUACCUGGGCUUAAAUGCAAAACGACGUCCGCCGAAAGGUGGAUUCCCUUCGGGGCGGAUUGCAAGGUGCUGCAUGGUUGUCGUCAGCUCGUGCCGUGAGGUAUCGGGUUAAGUCCCAUAACGAGCGCAACCCCUAUCGUUAGUUGCCAGCGGAUAAUGCCGGGGACUCUAACUAAACUGCCCGUGUAAGCGGGAGGAAGGUGGGGAUGACGUCAAAUCAGCACGGCCCUUAUGUCCAGGGCUACACACGUGUUACAAUGGCAGGUACAAAGGGCAGCUACUACGCGAGUAGAUGCUAAUCUCUAAAGCCUGUCCCAGUUCGGAUCGAAGUCUGCAAUUCGACUUCGUGAAGGCGGAUUCGCUAGUAAUCGCGCAUCAGCCAUGGCGCGGUGGAUACGUUCCCGGGCAUUGUACACACUGCCCGUCAAGCCAUGGAAGUUGGUAGUACCUGAAGUCUGUAACCGAAAGGAG
This 1395-nucleotide ribosomal RNA is filed under the name uncultured organism. RNAcentral's name for it is "16S ribosomal RNA". It matches the Rfam family "Bacterial small subunit ribosomal RNA". The record is from RNAcentral.